Molecule: ribosomal RNA, 254 nt
Filed under: uncultured bacterium
Lineage: Bacteria
Description: partial 16S ribosomal RNA
Rfam family: Bacterial small subunit ribosomal RNA
Source: RNAcentral
UACGUAGGGGGCAAGCGUUGUCCGGAUUUAUUGGGCGUAAAGAGCUCGUAGGUGGUUCGGUAAGUCGGAUGUGAAAUCUCCAGGCUCAACCUGGAGGGGUCAUUCGAUACUGCCGUGACUAGAGUUCGGUAGGGGAGUGUGGAAUUCCUGGUGGAGCGGUGAAAUGCGUAGAUAUCUGGAGGAACACCGGUGGCGAAGGCGGCAUCCUGGACCGGCAUUGACGCUGAGGCGCGAGAGCCAGGGGAGCAAACGGG